AAACGACUCUCGGCAACGGAUAUCCCGGCUCUCGCAUCGAUGAAGAACGUAGCGAAAUGCGAUACUUGGUGUGAAUUGCAGAAUCCCGUGAACCAUCGAGUCUUUGAACGCAAGUUGCGCCCGAGGCCAUUAGGCCGAGGGCACGUCUGCCUGGGUGUCACGC
RNAcentral lists this ribosomal RNA (163 nucleotides) under Oenanthe palustris. RNAcentral's name for it is "5.8S ribosomal RNA". It matches the Rfam family "5.8S ribosomal RNA". Rfam says of the family: 5.8S ribosomal RNA (5.8S rRNA) is a component of the large subunit of the eukaryotic ribosome. It is transcribed by RNA polymerase I as part of the 45S precursor that also contains 18S and 28S rRNA. Functionally, it is thought that 5.8S rRNA may be involved in ribosome translocation. The record is from RNAcentral. RNAcentral also lists the same sequence under 1 other name. Lineage: Eukaryota; Viridiplantae; Streptophyta; Magnoliopsida; Apiales; Apiaceae.